RNAcentral lists this ribosomal RNA (229 nucleotides) under uncultured bacterium. RNAcentral describes it as "partial 16S ribosomal RNA". It matches the Rfam family "Bacterial small subunit ribosomal RNA", at positions 524 to 751 of the family's 1533-position model. The record is from RNAcentral.
UACGUAGGGUGCGAGCGUUAAUCGGAAUUACUGGGCGUAAAGCGUGCGCAGGCGGUUUGUUAAGACAGAUGUGAAAUCCCCGGGCUUAACCUGGGAACUGCAUUUGUGACUGGCAAGCUAGAGUAUGGCAGAGGGGGGUAGAAUUCCACGUGUAGCAGUGAAAUGCGUAGAUAUGCGGAGGAACACCGAUGGCGAAGGCAAUCCCCUGGACCUGUACUGACGGCUCAUG